Molecule: RNA transcript, 1575 nt
Organism: Topomyia yanbarensis
Lineage: Eukaryota; Metazoa; Arthropoda; Insecta; Diptera; Culicidae
Exons: 3
Source: RefSeq, a predicted model, not a curated record
AACUCGUAUGCCCUGGUUCGUUCAAGCACAACCACACAAAAUCAAAACCUUGAAGAGCUAUCCGGUGCUCCUGCUGCUACUUCCGAUAGUGUAGAAAAAGAAGAUAUAUUCAGUGCUUUCGCCAGUCACAACAAAGAAGACCAAUUCGUGGAGCCACAGUUCGAAGACUCGCUAUCAGCUGGUGUGGCUGCUUCUGCUGUUGCUGCUGAUGCGACUGCGGCUGUUGCUACUCCCGAUCCCGCACCAGUUGCGGCCCCGCCGCCGGUUGUCAUAACAAAAGCAGUUACUCCAAAAGCGGUGACCCCGGUGAGACAACCAUCGGAGGAAAUACCGAAUCCGGUAGAAGCUUCUUGCAGUAAACCUGCUUAGCAGUGUAUACAGGCGGAGAAUUUUUUCAAGCAGUUUCGUUUGGAUGUUUGGUUCAAGCCGGAGAAAUUGCACCCGAAAGUGGAAUCCCUGAUCUACUGACGUGAUGUUAAGGAAUCCGCAAUCGUGUUCGGCAACAACCCUGCUCGUCAUGUCGCUAAUUUCGUUGAUCAGCGUUUUCUCGUACGUUUUGCUGCUGGUCCUGUUCGGAACCGUUUCGUUCCGAAUCUACAAGAACGUGCUUCAGGCCGUACAAAAGACCUUCGAAGGACACCUGUUCAAAGAAUACCUGGACUUUGAUUUGACCCUAUCGCAGGAGAAAGUACAGCAGCUGACCACGGUUGCUGUAGCGCAUGCCAACGCCCUGCUGUCGGAGUUACGCCUUCUGUUCCUGGUGGAAGAUGUAAUCGAUUCUAUCAAGUUUGGAACAAACUAUAUGCUCUACCAUUGCUGGAUGGAUUCCCCGGAGAUUUGGCACGUUUAUAACCUGCCUUCCGGGGCCACCUUUGCAUCUGCUGAACUCCAAUAUUCCCGUGAAGUGCUUUACCGAACAGCAGACCCAAAUGGAUAUGGAACUGUUCAAGCGGUUGAUACGUGUGAUCCGGCUAACAGGGACAAGCACCAGUGUAGAUCAGUACUCGUCAUCGUUAGCCGGUUCAAUGCGGAAUCCUUCCGGGUGAUAUGCUUAUCGAACUGCGGCUUAAAUCGCAGGAGGACUAACUAUAUUUUAACUGAAAUUAUAUUCUAGCGAGCUAUUUUUUACUAGGAACGAACUCUUCUCAUGUCCACUUGGAUUGACUUGGAAAAAUUUCCCCUUAAAGGCAAUCAUCUCAUGACAUCAAUUGAAUGCCGCCUAUCGACUGUCGAAAACCUGGGCCGUGCUACCUCGAGAAAAACUUGGACUAUACACCGAAUUGGCUCGGAUAUUUUCCGAGGAUUAUAACGGGAAGUGCUGAUGCGGGAAGGUACUGCUAAGUUUUCCGACACGGUAGGCGAGAACGACCGGCAUCUCCAGAAGACCUAACGAUGAUUCAUGCUGCCAUGCCUGAUACGCAACAAAAUGGCUUGAUCAAUUCCAACAAGUGACAGAAGGAGUUCGAGGUCAUCUGCCAGAGGAUGCUCUGUUAGAUCGAUGGUUUGCCUCGCUGCUGGUUCUGGACGAGACGCAUUAUCCUCAAAGUAAAUGCGAGCAAAUUGUGUUUAUUUUAA